Molecule: long non-coding RNA, 548 nt
Organism: Scylla paramamosain (green mud crab)
Lineage: Eukaryota; Metazoa; Arthropoda; Malacostraca; Decapoda; Portunidae
Exons: 4
Source: RefSeq, a predicted model, not a curated record
CACUACCUGUGAACAUGGUCGGCCUGGCGGGUUGUCUAAGCCGGCCCACCAAUGUACUGUGGGUUGUUGUGUUGGGUAGUCCUCUGUGCUACAGACGGAGAAUGUAGGGACGCCCUGGACCUCAUGUCGGUUGGUGUGUUGGUUGGUCCUCCGUGCUAGACAGAGUUGUGAGGACGCCCUGGACUGGAUGAUAGUUGGGGUGACAUGUCAGGUGUGCUACGGGGAUUCGAAGAGCGUCAGUGUGGGCCACUGAAGUCGAAACACUUCAAGCAAUAAACACCUGUUACGAUUUGUGGUUUAUUACACAUUUGGAAUCCCCAACAUUUCGACUUCAACCACAAUGGGCUGGCAAGAGGAGAUGGAAUUGUUAAAGAGGAAGAGGGCCAUUGCCAAGGGGAAAUUCACAAGAAAGGUGACCCUGCUGGAUGAGGGUGUACGGGAAGGUGAGCCAGUAUCAGUAUUGAAGAAUAACUAUGAACAGAUUUCUGAGGCCUUUCAACACCUAGAAGACAGUAAUGAUGUGAUAUUAAAAUAUGUGUGAUAAUAAA